Molecule: ribosomal RNA, 622 nt
Filed under: uncultured bacterium
Lineage: Bacteria
Description: bacterial SSU rRNA
Rfam family: Bacterial small subunit ribosomal RNA
Source: RNAcentral
GAACACCAGUGGCGAAGGCGACUUACUGGGCCGUAACUGACGUUGAUGCGCGAAAGCUGGGGAGCGAACAGGAUUAGAUACCCUGGUAGUCCACGCCGUAAACGAUGAGUGCUAGGUGUAGCGGGUAUCGACCCCUGCUGUGCCGGAGUUAACACAAUAAGCACUCCGCCUGGGGAGUACGGCCGCAAGGUUGAAACUCAAAGGAAUUGACGGGGGCCCGCACAAGCAGCGGAGCAUGUGGUUUAAUUCGAAGCAACGCGAAGAACCUUACCAGGUCUUGACAUCGAGGCAAAGCCGUAGAGAUACGGUGUACAGCAAUGAGGCCGAAGACAGGUGGUGCAUGGUUGUCGUCAGCUCGUGUCGUGAGAUGUUGGGUUAAGUCCCGCAACGAGCGCAACCCUUAUUGUCAGUUACUAACGGGUAAAGCUGAGGACUCUGACGAGACUGCCGGGGACAACUCGGAGGAAGGUGGGGACGACGUCAAAUCAUCAUGCCCCUUAUGACCUGGGCUACACACGUGCUACAAUGGUGGUUACAGAGAGGAGCGAGCCCGCGANGGGGAGCGGAUCUCAAAAAGCCAUCUCAGUUCGGAUUGUGGGCUGCAACCCGCCACAUGAAGUUG